Molecule: ribosomal RNA, 856 nt
Filed under: uncultured Shigella sp.
Lineage: Bacteria; Pseudomonadati; Pseudomonadota; Gammaproteobacteria; Enterobacterales; Enterobacteriaceae
Description: bacterial SSU rRNA
Rfam family: Bacterial small subunit ribosomal RNA
Source: RNAcentral
AGGGGGGUAGAAUUCCAGGUGUAGCGGUGAAAUGCGUAGAGAUCUGGAGGAAUACCGGUGGCGAAGGCGGCCCCCUGGACGAGACUGACGCUCAGGUGCGAAAGCGUGGGGAGCAACCAGGAUUAGAUACCCUGGUAGUCCACGCCGUAAACGAUGUCGACUUGGAGGUUGUGCCCUUGAGGCGUGGCUUCCGGAGCUAACGCGUUAAGUCGACCGCCUGGGGAGUACGGCCGCAAGGUUAAAACUCAAAUGAAUUGACGGGGGCCCGCACAAGCGGUGGAGCAUGUGGUUUAAUUCGAUGCAACGCGAAGAACCUUACCUGGUCUUGACAUCCACGGAAGUUUUCAGAGAUGAGAAUGUGCCUUCGGGAACCGUGAGACAGGUGCUGCAUGGCUGUCGUCAGCUCGUGUUGUGAAAUGUUGGGUUAAGUCCCGCAACGAGCGCAACCCUUAUCCUUUGUUGCCAGCGGUCCGGCCGGGAACUCAAAGGAGACUGUUAGUGAUAAACUGGAGGAAGGUGGGGAUGACGUCAAGUCAUCAUGGCCCUUACGACCAGGGCUACACACGUGCUACAAUGGCGCAUACAAAGAGAAGCGACCUCGCGAGAGCAAGCGGACCUCAUAAAGUGCGUCGUAGUCCGGAUUGGAGUCUGCAACUCGACUCCAUGAAGUCGGAAUCGCUAGUAAUCGUGGAUCAGAAUGCCACGGUGAAUACGUUCCCGGGCCUUGUACACACCGCCCGUCACACCAUGGGAGUGGGUUGCAAAAGAAGUAGGUAGCUUAACCUUCGGGAGGGCGCUUACCACUUUGUGAUUCAUGACUGGGGUGAAGUCGUAACAAGGUAACCAAGGGCGAAUC